CAGCAGCCGCGGUAAUACGAAGGGUGCAAGCGUUAAUCGGAAUUACUGGGCGUAAAGCGUGCGUAGGCGGUUUGUUAAGUCUGUUGUGAAAUCCCCGGGCUCAACCUGGGAAUGGCAAUGGAUACUGGCAAGCUAGAGUGUGUCAGAGGAUGGUGGAAUUCCCGGUGUAGCGGUGAAAUGCGUAGAGAUCGGGAGGAACAUCAGUGGCGAAGGCGGCCAUCUGGGACAACACUGACGCUGAGGCACGAAAGCGCGGGGAGCAAACAGGAUUAGAUACCCCUGUAGUCCCUGUCUCUUAUAC
RNAcentral lists this ribosomal RNA (301 nucleotides) under uncultured bacterium. RNAcentral describes it as "partial 16S ribosomal RNA". It matches the Rfam family "Bacterial small subunit ribosomal RNA", at positions 509 to 807 of the family's 1533-position model. The record is from RNAcentral.